GUGAACAUCACACCGGGCUGACGAGUUACGUGGUUUCUGCAAUGUAAUUAUGGAAUGAUGACAGGCAACUGUGAGGUCACAGCAAUCGCCGGAGGUCCCCGGAAUGCCUGGCUAUGGCAGAUGCUUAAUGGCUGUUUGUGCAGUGAAUGAAUGAACUUUCCUAAACAGAGAACAUGCAGUAAUCGUACACUUUGAGGGGGACAGAUAGAGAAACAGCUGUAUGAAGGAUCUUUGUCCUUUAUGAUUCUUUCAACCUGCACCUAGCCAGGUUGGGCUGCAGAUCUGACUUUAGAGCAUUUGGGCAGAGGUGUGGGGAGGCUCCCGAAGCCCCCGAGAGUCCAUGAAGCCCCAGGCCAAGUUGCUGAGUGUUCAAGCUCUGGCCACGGAGCUUGCUGACCCCAGAAAGCUAAAUCAAAAAGGCUUACAAUCCAUGGGUCCAAGGCGGAGGCUGGAAGGACAGGGGCUUGCAGGGAAGACAAGAGCAGCUGAGCCUGGAGGCCUGGCCUUGGAGGCAACCAGCUGUGUGGCUGGGGGCUGCCAUCCGAGUCAGUCUUUUCAUCUGUAAAGUCAACAGUCUGGCAAAAUCCUCCCUGAAGUCCCUUCCAACUCCAAAAAUGUAGUCUAAUAAAUAAUAAAGUAGCAGAAGAA
RNAcentral lists this long non-coding RNA (648 nucleotides) under Chinchilla lanigera (long-tailed chinchilla). RNAcentral describes it as "lncRNA (ENSCLAG00000024646.1)". Lineage: Eukaryota; Metazoa; Chordata; Mammalia; Rodentia; Chinchillidae. The record is from RNAcentral.